Molecule: long non-coding RNA, 1167 nt
Organism: Oncorhynchus nerka (sockeye salmon)
Lineage: Eukaryota; Metazoa; Chordata; Actinopteri; Salmoniformes; Salmonidae
Exons: 2
Source: RefSeq, a predicted model, not a curated record
ACAGCACAUGCCUUUUUCUGUGUGCAACUUUUUCAAAUCAGUCGCAUGCAUCAUGUAGCCCAGCCCAUGUUUUGCAUCACAAAAUGGUGUAGCCCAGCUGAACGGUGUUUCCUCAGACACAGUGGUGCAGCUGGUUUCCGGGUUAAGGGAGCAGUGUGUCAUGAAGAAAUGCGGCUUGGCAGGGUGGUUUUUCGGAGGACGCAUGGCUCUCGACUGUCGCAGCGAUGGGACAAGACUAACUACCACUUGGAUAUCACAAAAUUGGGGAGGAAAAACGGGUAAAAAGUACAAAACGAUAAUAAAAAAAGGAAUGGCUUGGAGAUCGGUUGGUGACCACUGGUGUAAAGACCUGAGCCCUAGGACCAUGCCCCAGGACUACCUGACAUGAUGACUCCUUGCUGUCCCCAGUCCACCUGGCCAUGCUGCUGUUCCAGUUUCAACUGACCUGAGCCCUAGGACCAUGCCCCAGGACUACCUGACAUGAUGACUCCUUGCUGUCCCCAGUCCACCUGGCCAUGCUGCUGCUCCAGUUUCAACUUCCACCUGACUGUGCUGCUGCUCCAUUUUCAACUGUUCUGCCUUAUUAUUAUUCGACCAUGCUGGUCAUUUAUGAACAUUUGAACAUCUUGGCCAUGUUCUGUUAUAAUCUCCACCCGGCACAGCCAGAAGAGGACUGGCCACCCCACAUAGCCUGGUUCCUCUCUAGGUUUCUUCCUAGGUUUUGGCCUUUCUAGGGAGUUUUUCCUAGCCACCGUGCUUCUACACCUGCAUUGCUUGCUGUUUGGGGUUUUAGGCUGGGUUUCUGUACAGCACUUUGAGAUAUCAGCUGAUGUACGAAGGACUAUAUAAAUACAUUUGAUUUGAUUUCUGCACAUCCUACCAUUCCAGUGUUUAAUUGCUAUAUUGUAAUUACUUUGCCACCAUGGCCUAUUUAUUGCCUUACCUCUCUUAUCCUACCUCAUUUGCACAUGCUGUAUAUAGAUUUUUCUACUGUAUUAUUGAUUGUAUGUUUCUUCAAUAAGUGACUGUUGUAUGUGUCUCACUGCUUUGCUUUAUCUUGGCCAGGUCGCAGUUGCAAAUGAGAACUUGUUCUCAACUAGCCUACCUGGUUAAAUAAAGGUGAAAUAUAUAUAUUUUUAAAUUAAAUUUAAAAAAUGCUUUCCUUAA